CCUACGGGUGGCAGCAGUGGGGAAUAUUGGUCAAUGGACGGGACUCUGAACCAGCGACGCCGCGUGAGUGAAGAAGUAUUUCGGUGUGGUAAGCUCUAUCAGCAGGGGAGAAAAUGACGUUACCUGACUAAGAAGCUCCGGCUAACUACGUGCCAGCAGCCGCGGUAAUACGUAGGGGGCCAGCGUUAUCCGGAUUUACUGGGUGUAAAGGGAGCGUAGACGGUGUAGCAAGUCUGAUGGGAAAGGUCGCGGUCCAACCCUGAGAUUGCAUUGGAAACUGGUGAACUGGAGUACAGGAGAGGUAAGCGGAAUUCCUAGUGUAGCGGUGAAAUGCGUAGAUAUUAGGAGGAACACCAGUGGCGAAGGCGGCUGACUGGACUGUAACUGACGUUGAGGCUCGAAAGCGUGGGUAGCAAACAGGAUUAGAUACCCGGGUAGUC
This 440-nucleotide ribosomal RNA is filed under the name uncultured bacterium. Its description in RNAcentral is "partial 16S ribosomal RNA". It matches the Rfam family "Bacterial small subunit ribosomal RNA", at positions 338 to 795 of the family's 1533-position model. The record is from RNAcentral.